GAUGAACGCUAGCUACAGGCUUAACACAUGCAAGUCGAGGGGCAGCAUGAAUUUACUUCGGUAAAUUUGAUGGCGACCGGCGCACGGGUGCGUAACGCGUAUCCAACCUUCCCGUUACUCCGGGAUAGCCUUCCGAAAGGGAGAUUAAUACCGGAUGGUGUUCAAGUGGUGCAUAUUAUUUGAACUAAAGAUUUAUCGGUAACGGAUGGGGGAUGCGUACCAUUAGAUAGUAGGCGGGGUAACGGCCCACCAUGGCGACGAUCAGUAGCCGGUCUGAGAGGAUGAACGGCCACAUUGGGACUGAGAUACGGCCCAGACUCCUACGGGAGGCAGCAGUGAGGAAUAUUGGUCAAUGGCCGGAAGGCUGAACCAGCCAAGUAGCGUGAAGGAUGAAGGUUCUAUGGAUUGUAAACUUCUUUUAUACGGGAAUAAAGCCCGCUACGUGUAGCGGUUUGUAUGUACCGUAUGAAUAAGCAUCGGCUAACUCCGUG
Molecule: ribosomal RNA, 491 nt
Filed under: uncultured bacterium
Lineage: Bacteria
Description: bacterial SSU rRNA
Rfam family: Bacterial small subunit ribosomal RNA
Source: RNAcentral